Molecule: transfer RNA, 70 nt
Filed under: Leopardus colocola (Colocolo)
Lineage: Eukaryota; Metazoa; Chordata; Mammalia; Carnivora; Felidae
Description: tRNA-Thr
Source: RNAcentral
GUCUUUGUAGUAUAUACAAUACCUUGGUCUUGUAAACCAAAAAAGGAGAACACAUGCCCUCCCUAAGACU